This 433-nucleotide ribosomal RNA is filed under the name uncultured bacterium. Its description in RNAcentral is "partial 16S ribosomal RNA". It matches the Rfam family "Bacterial small subunit ribosomal RNA", at positions 29 to 507 of the family's 1533-position model. The record is from RNAcentral.
AGCGAACGCUGGCGGCAGGCCUAACACAUGCAAGUCGAACGAACUCUUCGGAGUUAGUGGCGGACGGGUGAGUAACACGUGGGAACGUGCCUUUUGGUUCGGAAUAACUCAGGGAAACUUGUGCUAAUACCGAAUGUGCCCUUCGGGGGAAAGAUUUAUCGCCAUUAGAGCGGCCCGCGUCUGAUUAGCUAGUUGGUGAGGUAACGGCUCACCAAGGCGACGAUCAGUAGCUGGUCUGAGAUGAUGACCAGCCACACUGGGACUGAGACACGGCCCAGACUCCUACGGGAGGCAGCAGUGGGGAAUCUUGCGCAAUGGGCGAAAGCCUGACGCAGCCAUGCCGCGUGAAUGAUGAAGGUCUUAGGAUUGUAAAAUUCUUUCACCGGGGACGAUAAUGACGGUACCCGGAGAAGAAGCCCCGGCUAACUUCGUG